RNAcentral lists this ribosomal RNA (305 nucleotides) under uncultured bacterium. Its description in RNAcentral is "bacterial SSU rRNA". It matches the Rfam family "Bacterial small subunit ribosomal RNA", at positions 335 to 658 of the family's 1533-position model. The record is from RNAcentral.
UACCUACGGGGGGCAGCAGUGGGGAAUAUUGCACAAUGGGGGAAACCCUGAUGCAGCGACGCCGCGUGAGCGAUGAAGUAUUUCGGUAUGUAAAGCUCUAUCAGCAGGGAAGAGAAUGACGGUACCUGACUAAGAAGCCCCGGCUAACUACGUGCCAGCAGCCGCGGUAAUACGUAGGGGGCAAGCGUUAUCCGGAUUUACUGGGUGUAAAGGGAGCGUAGACGGCUGUGCAAGCCAGAUGUGAAAGCUCGGGACCCAACCCCGGGACUGCAUUUGGAACUGCGGGGCUUGAGUGUCGGAGAGGC